RNAcentral lists this ribosomal RNA (437 nucleotides) under uncultured Planctomycetota bacterium. Its description in RNAcentral is "bacterial SSU rRNA". It matches the Rfam family "Bacterial small subunit ribosomal RNA", at positions 383 to 810 of the family's 1533-position model. Lineage: Bacteria; Pseudomonadati; Planctomycetota. The record is from RNAcentral.
GUGACGAAGCGACGCCGCGUGUGGGAAGAAGGCCUUCGGGUUGUAAACCACUGUCGGGAGUUAAAAAAUGCAAGAGUGUUAAUAGCGUUUUUGCUUGACUAAGGCUCCGGAGGAAGCCACGGCUAACUCUGUGCCAGCAGCCGCGGUAAUACAGAGGCGGCAAGCGUUGUUCGGAAUUAUUGGGCGUAAAGAGCACGUAGGCGGCUAUAUAAGUCGGUUGUGAAAGCCUCCCGCUGAACGGGAGAACAGCAUCCGAUACUGUAUGGCUUGAGUGUGGGAGGGGAGAGCGGAACUUCUGGUGGAGCGGUGAAAUGCGUAGAUAUUAAAAGGAACGCCGGCGGCGAAAGCGGCUCUCUGGCCCAUAACUGACGCUGAGUGUGCGAAAGCUAGGGGAGCAAACGGGAUUAGAUACCCCGGUAGUCCUAGCCGUAAACGAU